Molecule: ribosomal RNA, 417 nt
Filed under: uncultured bacterium
Lineage: Bacteria
Description: bacterial SSU rRNA
Rfam family: Bacterial small subunit ribosomal RNA
Source: RNAcentral
UGAGGAAUAUUGGGCAAUGCCCGCAAGGGUGACCCAGCAACGCCGCGUGGAGGAUGAAUGUCGUAAGAUUGUAAACUCCUGUUAGAGGGGAAGAAUAGUACCGGUUGGACCGGUAUAUGACUGUACCCUCAGAGAAAGCCCCGGCUAACUACGUGCCAGCAGCCGCGGUAAUACGUAGGGGGCAAGCGUUGUCCGGAUUUAUUGGGGGUAAAGGGCGCGCAGGCGGGAUAAAAAGUCAGUGGUGAAAUCCUACAGCUUAACUGUAGAACUGCCUUUGAUACUUUUAUUCUUGAGUUCGGGAGAGAGAGACGGAAUUCCAGGUGUAGUGGUGAAAUACGGAGAUAUCUGGAAGAACACCAGUUGCGAAGGCGGUCUCUUGGUCCGACACUGACGCUGAGGCGCGAAAGCGUGGGGAGC